CGUAGGGGGCAAGCGUUGUCCGGAUUUAUUGGGCGUAAAGAGCGUGUAGGCGGCCUUACAGGUCAGCUGUGAAAACUCGAGGCUCAACCUCGAGACGUCGGUUGAAACCGUAAGGCUAGAGUCCGGAAGAGGAGAGUGGAAUUCCCGGUGUAGCGGUGAAAUGCGCAGAUAUCGGGAAGAACACCCGUGGCGAGGGCGGCUCUCUGGGACGGUACUGACGCUGAGACGCGAAAACGUGGGGAGCGAACAGGA
This 252-nucleotide ribosomal RNA is filed under the name uncultured prokaryote. RNAcentral's name for it is "partial 16S ribosomal RNA". It matches the Rfam family "Bacterial small subunit ribosomal RNA", at positions 526 to 777 of the family's 1533-position model. The record is from RNAcentral.